Molecule: ribosomal RNA, 484 nt
Filed under: uncultured bacterium
Lineage: Bacteria
Description: partial 16S ribosomal RNA
Rfam family: Bacterial small subunit ribosomal RNA
Source: RNAcentral
AUUGAACGCUGGCGGCAGGCCUAACACAUGCAAGUCGAGCGGAUGAAGGGAGCUUGCUCCUGGAUUCAGCGGCGGACGGGUGAGUAAUGCCUAGGGAUCUGCCUGGUAGUGGGGGAUAACGUCCGGAAACGGGCGCUAAUACCGCAUACGUCCUGAGGGAGAAAGUGGGGGAUCUUCGGACCUCACGCUAUCAGAUGAGCCUAGGUCGGAUUAGCUAGUUGGUGGGGUAAAGGCCUACCAAGGCGACGAUCCGUAACUGGUCUAAGAGGAUGAUCAGUCACACUGGAACUGAGACACGGUCCAGACUCCUACGGGAGGCAGCAGUGGGGAAUAUUGGACAAUGGGCGAAAGCCUGAUCCAGCCAUGCCGCGUGUGUGAAGAAGGUCUUCGGAUUGUAAAGCACUUUAAGUUGGGAGGAAGGGCAGUAAGUUAAUACCUUGCUGUUUUGACGUUACCAACAGAAUAAGCACCGGCUAACUUCGUG